AAGCGGGUUAAAGAUUCCACCAGGGUAACCAACUUCACCCUUAGGUAAGCUGUAUUGCUUAAAGAUAGGGUCUUGGUUCACACUUCCUGGGUUCUUGAUGUCUUGCCACCGUCUGAUCUCAACGUAAUGAAACAAUAUGAACUCGAUCACGAACAAUGUCGACGACGAUGCAAAAUACUGCUCUUUCCCAGCAUCGUACCACUCAGGAACAUUUAUGAUUCCUACCAACAGUUUUGACAAUGUGUUAAGUUCUUGAAAGAAGUUAUAAAUUGUUUUAAGGUCAUGUUAAUGGUAACUCACCGAUCUUGGUGAAAACUUCCGGCAAAAGCAUCCCAGCGACACCGAGCAUAGCCCAUCGUCCGUUGACCAGCUCUGCCUGGACGAACCAUUUCAAGUUCUCUGGAUCCUCUGCUAGACCCAACGGGUCAAACCCAUUGUCACCGGCAAGACUGCAAUAUGUAUAAGAGUGAGUGAGUGACCAUUAUUAACUAAACCGGUAUCAACCAAGUCCGGUCUAACCUAACCAAUCCAAACUGAUUAGUCACGGUUGUGUUCAAACAAAUUCCUAUACACUUAAACUAAACCGGUAUCGGACUGUCCUAAGCUAACCAAAUCGAUUACCAUGUUGGUUCCGGUUGUGUUAAACCGAAAUUGAAUGUAGUUUGCAAAACAUUACCUGCCGGUGAGAUAAUCAGGCGAUGCCAAACCGGGCAACCAUUCUCCUUUCUUAGCUUCAACCUUGAACGACGACGUUUUGGCCGAUGAACCGAUCGAUGUAAACGACAAGUCGCGGUUCAACCUACCGGAAGAACCGGUGAGGAAUCUUGGCUUUGAAGUACAAGGUCGGAAAAUCGAGGCCGAGGCAUGAGUAGUGACAGUAGCCAUUAUCCCUAGCUAGACUUAGAAGAUCCGACCCGAGAACCCGGCACUUGAAGAAGAAUGGAUUGGAAUCAAGAGAGAUUGAAAGAUGAGUUCAGAGAUGGUUGUGAAG
RNAcentral lists this long non-coding RNA (991 nucleotides) under Arabidopsis thaliana (thale cress). RNAcentral describes it as "long non-coding RNA (ATHA_LNC000175)". The record is from RNAcentral. Lineage: Eukaryota; Viridiplantae; Streptophyta; Magnoliopsida; Brassicales; Brassicaceae.